This 253-nucleotide ribosomal RNA is filed under the name uncultured bacterium. Its description in RNAcentral is "partial 16S ribosomal RNA". It matches the Rfam family "Bacterial small subunit ribosomal RNA", at positions 524 to 776 of the family's 1533-position model. The record is from RNAcentral.
UACAGAGGGGGCAAGCGUUGUUCGGAAUUACUGGGCGUAAAGGGCGCGUAGGCGGCCUUCUAAGUCGAACGUGAAAUCCCUGGGCUCAACCCAGGAACUGCGUCCGAUACUGGGAGGCUUGAAUCCGGGAGAGGGAUGCGGAAUUCCAGGUGUAGCGGUGAAAUGCGUAGAUAUCUGGAGGAACACCGGUGGCGAAGGCGGGUCUCUGGGCGGUAACUGACGCUGAGGAGCGAAAGCGUGGGGAGCGAACAGG